RNAcentral lists this long non-coding RNA (1168 nucleotides) under Junco hyemalis (dark-eyed junco). RNAcentral describes it as "lncRNA (ENSJHYG00000010901.1)". The record is from RNAcentral. Lineage: Eukaryota; Metazoa; Chordata; Aves; Passeriformes; Passerellidae.
UCCCCGCUGUCCCUCACCGGUGACGUUGAGCAGUUUGGGCAGGAACCGUGUCCAGAAGGCGCAGGCCUGGGCGCGCAGGCCCUGGGCCACGGCGAGCGGCCGCGCGUUGAGCCGGGCGUAGCUCUGCCCCGACGCCGUGUAGGACGGCCAGCGCCGCUCGCGCUCCGACGGCUCGUUGGGGUCACUGCGGCGAGGGACGGGUCAGCCGAGGGUGCCCAACUCAACUCAACUCAACCCAACUCAACCCAACUCAACCCAACUCAACCCAACUCAACCCAUCCAAGGUCAUCCAACUCAUCCCAACUCAUCCAAACUCAGCCCAAACCAGCCAAGGGUGUCCAACUCAACUCAACCCAACCCAACUCAACUCAGGUCAUCCAACUCAAUUCAUCACAAUUCAGCUCAACCCAACUCAUCCAAACUCAGCCCAACCCAACUGAACCCAACACAACCCAACUCAACCCAUCCAAGGUCAUCCAAACUCAGCCCAAACCAGCCAAGGGUGUCCAACUCAACCCAACUCAACUCAAUCAAGGGUGUCCAACUCAACCAAGGUCAUCCAACUCAUCCCAACUCAACCCAACUCAACUCAACCCAACCAAGGUCAUCCAACCCAACUCAUCCAAACUCAACCUAACCCAGCCAAACUCAACCCAACCCAGCCAAGGGUGUCCAACUCAACCCAACUCAAGCCAAUCUAACUCAAGCAAGGUCAUCCAACUCAACCUGACUCAUCCAAACUCAACCCAACCCAGCCAAGGACAUCCAACUCAACUCAACCCAACCUAACUCAAGCAAGGGCAUCCAACUUAACCCAGCCAAGGUCAUCCAACUCAACUCAUCCAACUCAACUCAUCCCAACUCAACCAAGGGCAUGCAAUUCAACUCAACUCAACUCAACUCAACUCAAGAGAGGGCAUCCAACUCAACUCAUCAGAAUUCAACCCAACCCAAUUCAUCCAAACUCAACCCAAUCCAGGCAAGAGCGUCCAACCCAACCCAACUCAAUCAAGGGCAUCCAACCCAACUCAACCCAACUGAGAGCAUCCAAACCAACCCAACUCAACUCAACUCAAUCCAAGUCAACCCAACCGAGGGCAUCCAACCCAACUCAUCCAAACUCAACUCAUCCAAACUCAACCCAACCAAGGUCAUGCAACCCAACUGA